This 435-nucleotide long non-coding RNA is filed under the name Manihot esculenta (cassava). RNAcentral's name for it is "long non-coding RNA (MESC_LNC008126)". The record is from RNAcentral. Lineage: Eukaryota; Viridiplantae; Streptophyta; Magnoliopsida; Malpighiales; Euphorbiaceae.
CGUACAUCCGAUUAAUAUAUAAAAAAUAAAAAAGCUAAAAUUAUGACAAAUUUUAUAUUUAAUUACAUUUUAUUGGCAGGAUGCAUAUACACUCACAUUUAAUCAUUUUCUAUUGGCCGGGGAUACACAUCCAAGUGGCGGAGCUAAGCUUCUCUUUGGUAAGGUACCGGCUGCGCCGUGCCACUGGCUGCGCCGCUGUAGUACCACCGGCUGCGUCACUGCGGCACCUUCAUCCCUUCAAAACAUUUUCCGGUCGCCGGUACGGCACGUGCCCCUCCUUGCCGUUCCCUCCGCCACUGCAUCCAACAGUAAACAAUUUCCGCAUCAAAAGCUAGAUACGUCCAUCUCAGAAAAGUAGAAGCCAGAAGGACCAGUGUCAGGCAGCAAAGCCAACAUAACUGGAGCUCUUGCACCUUCUUCAGGAGUCAAGUUUCC